AAAUACCAUGGACUAAAUGGCUGUAUUAUGGAUGUUUCCAGCUGCAUAUGGGAGGGGAUGGGGAGCAUAUAUAGAUGUUUUCCUUGGGUGUGAUUGGUGCUUUUAAGGAGAGGAAGUGGCACACAGGAGCAGCCUCAGCCAGACCUUAAUUCUAGAAGAAUAAAGGCUGCUUAGUCCUUCAGACAAGGCUCACUACAGGCAAAAUAUGGGAUGUCUGAAAUAUUUGACAAGAGAUGAAGUAUUCAUCAGGGAGAGAAAUAUAAUGUUUCAGUGACACACAAGGAAGACAUUGCCAGGGUCUGGCAAAGGUGUAAUGGCGCUUAUCCCAGCAGAGAUCUCAGCUGACAGUUUUAACAUUGGAUACAGACAAAGAACAAGCAGAAGAAGAAACAAAAAGGCUCCAUGAGUGCUAGAGGAACAAAGGUAGACUGGCUUCUGGAGAGUAGAAACCCCUCAGAGCUCCCUACACAAGAUGUCUGCCGAAUGCAAAGCUGACUCUAUCUGAUGGGAGCAACUUUGCUGCAAGGAAUAGGAUUCCUGAUUGAACGUGACAAUAAUACGAAUUUGUUAUAUGAACACACAAGAAUCUCAAGGUUGGGGGAAUUCAAGAGAUACUUCAACAGGAUGAAAAUGAACCUCCAUUACAGCUGAUCUUCUGAUCUGCACACGUCUGUGGGUUGGUGACUUCUCUCCCUCAUCACAACAGCUAAUGUGCCUCAUCCUCAUAAUACUACCACUUCAUGUCAAAAAAGGGAGAAAGUGACGACAGAUGUUGAAAGCUGAGAGCUUUGGGAAUUGCCCUGUCCUCACCUCCAUCGGGGACCAAAUGUCUUCUAACUGUGAGCCAAACAAAAUGAAAAUCUCUUCCACUAAGCAACUUUGUGACGAUCAUCUGCUUACAAUGCGAAGAAAAGUAGCUAACAUAGCAUCCAAUACAUUUGAAGUAAAG
This is a long non-coding RNA of Mus musculus (house mouse), 949 nucleotides long. RefSeq annotates it as predicted gene, 53954. The transcript has 4 exons. The record is from RefSeq and is a predicted model, not a curated record. Lineage: Eukaryota; Metazoa; Chordata; Mammalia; Rodentia; Muridae.